This 252-nucleotide ribosomal RNA is filed under the name uncultured bacterium. RNAcentral describes it as "partial 16S ribosomal RNA". It matches the Rfam family "Bacterial small subunit ribosomal RNA", at positions 524 to 776 of the family's 1533-position model. The record is from RNAcentral.
GAUAGAGGAUGCAAGCGUUAUCCAGAAUGAUUGGGCGUAAAGCGUCUGUAGGUGGCUUUUCAAGUCCGCCGUCAAAUCCCAGGGCUCAACCCUGGUCAGGCGGUGGAAACUACCAAGCUGGAGUACGGUAGGGGCAGGGGAAUUUCCGGUGGAGCGGUGAAAUGCAUUGAGAUCGAAAAGAACACCAACGGCGAAAGCACUCUGCUGGGCCAACACUGACACUGAGAGACGAAAUCUAGGGGAGCGAACGGG